UAACGAGGGCUGAGCUGUCUCCUCCCCCCAGUCAAUGAAAUUGAUCUGCCCGUGCAGAAGCGGGCAUAAGUACAUAAGACGAGAAGACCCUAUGGAGCUUAAAACACAGAAGCAGCCCACGUAAACCCCCCUGAACCUUAAUUUAGGGAAAAACAAUAUGGCCCUCUGCCCUUUGUCUUUGGUUGGGGCGACCGCGGGGAAACAAAAAACCACCACGUGGAACGGAUACCUCCCGAAACAAGACCCACAAGUCGAACAAGCAGAAAUUCUGACCAGAAAGAUCCGGCAAAGCCGAUCAACGGACCCAGUUACCCUAGGGAUAACAGCGCAAUCCCCUUUUAGAGCCCAUAUCGACAAGGGGGUUUACGACCUCGAUGUUGGAUCAGGACAUCCUAAUGGUGCAACCGCUAUUAAGGGUUCGUUUGUUCAACGAUUAAGGUGCUACGUGAGCUGAGUUCAGACCGGAGAGC
RNAcentral lists this ribosomal RNA (470 nucleotides) under Glossogobius aureus (golden tank goby). RNAcentral's name for it is "partial large subunit ribosomal RNA". It matches the Rfam family "Bacterial large subunit ribosomal RNA", at positions 2002 to 2624 of the family's 2925-position model. Lineage: Eukaryota; Metazoa; Chordata; Actinopteri; Gobiiformes; Gobiidae. The record is from RNAcentral.